AUCUGAUCCAUCUAAUAAACCUGAUGAUCGAAGUGGACGACCUAUGCUGAAGACGGAUGUUGCUGUAAAGAAAGAGUCCAUAUCUCAAAAGAGGAAUGUUGAUUCUGAGGAUCAAGACACUCGGUCAAUGUUGAAGAUGGAUAUUGCUGCCAAGAAAGAGUCUGUUUCCCGAAAGAAUGUUGUUGCUUCGUCUAAUGAACCCGAGGACCAAGGUGUACUGGAGAAAACUCCUAGUAGUGUCAGGAAAAUGAUAAGUGCCUUUGAAACUGGUCUUACUCAGAAAAAGGGGAGAAGAUCUCUUACAAGAACUCGAGCAUCAAAAUCCCAACCAAAUUUAGUUGGAAUUGGAGGCUCCCUAAAAGAUUUGGAUUCAGACAAAAUUUCA
This 385-nucleotide unclassified non-coding RNA is filed under the name Hevea brasiliensis (rubber tree). The record is from RNAcentral. Lineage: Eukaryota; Viridiplantae; Streptophyta; Magnoliopsida; Malpighiales; Euphorbiaceae.